This 225-nucleotide ribosomal RNA is filed under the name uncultured bacterium. RNAcentral describes it as "partial 16S ribosomal RNA". It matches the Rfam family "Bacterial small subunit ribosomal RNA", at positions 92 to 334 of the family's 1533-position model. The record is from RNAcentral.
UCAGCGGCAGACGGGUGAGUAACGCGUGGGAACAUACCUUUGGUUCGGAACAACACAGGGAAACUUGUGCUAAUACCGGAUAAGCCCUUACGGGGAAAGAUUUAUCGCCGAAAGAUUGGCCCGCGUCUGAUUAGCUAGUUGGUGAGGUAACGGCGUCACCAAGGCGACGAUCAGUAGCUGGUCUGAGAGGAUGAUCAGCCACAUUGGGACUGAGACACGGCCCAA